CUCGUUAUAUGCUCACCGUCGCGACCCCUCUUCCCCAUUCUUGAGGUCGCGCUCGCCCUCUUCCUCUCCGCUUUCUCUUCUGUUUCCUGCUGUCUGGUCGCCGAGUUCCUCAUCGUGGUAGCAGGAUUGUGGCUCGAUUCGUCAGUGUUUUGAGGCAAAUCUUGGCCGGAUCUGUGCUGGUUGAUCUCGUUGGAGUUGAAAAG
This is a long non-coding RNA of Panicum virgatum (switchgrass), 203 nucleotides long. RefSeq lists it as uncharacterized. The transcript has 3 exons. NCBI's taxonomy places the organism in Eukaryota, Viridiplantae, Streptophyta, Magnoliopsida, Poales, Poaceae. The record is from RefSeq and is a predicted model, not a curated record.